Zea mays is the source of this 146-nucleotide long non-coding RNA. RefSeq lists it as uncharacterized. The record is from RefSeq and is a predicted model, not a curated record. The transcript is spliced from 3 exons. NCBI's taxonomy places the organism in Eukaryota, Viridiplantae, Streptophyta, Magnoliopsida, Poales, Poaceae.
CUGGCACCCUACCUCCCAUGCCUCCCCAAUCAUCAUACAUUGGUUCGCCUGUUUUCUGGAUUGGAGUUGGUGUAGCAUUGUCUGUGGCGUUUACCACGGUUUCUUCCAUGCUAAAGGUGAGCUCACAGCUAUCCUCUGUUUUUUAU